RNAcentral lists this unclassified non-coding RNA (3485 nucleotides) under Hevea brasiliensis (rubber tree). The record is from RNAcentral. Lineage: Eukaryota; Viridiplantae; Streptophyta; Magnoliopsida; Malpighiales; Euphorbiaceae.
UGCUAAUUGAAAUCAGUAGAUAGCUGCAAGGUAAACAAAUCCAGCUGCGACUCUCUGUAGCUGCCUCUUUUCUCCUGGAGAGAGAGAGAGAGAGGAAAGGAAGAGAAAUCGAAUCUGCCUUAACUAGCGAGGAAAAGAACGGAACGGAAAUAAUGGGGGAGGUUCGCGGAGGAUGCUGUCCGCCGAUGGAUCUGUUCAGGUCGGAGGCGAUGCAAUUGGUGCAGCUCAUCAUACCCAUCGAAUCAGCCCAUGUCACGGUCUCUUAUCUGGGCGACCUCGGCUUCCUUCAAUUCAAAGAUCUCAAUUCAGAGAAGAGCCCAUUUCAGAGAACUUAUGCUGCUCAGAUAAAAAAAUGUGGAGACAUGGCACGAAAGUUACGUUUUUUCAAGGAGCAAAUGGAUAAGGCGGGUGUGUCACCUUCAUCAAAGCCUGUGACACAAACUGACAUUGAUAUGGAUGGCCUAGAUUUAAAACUUGGAGAACUUGAGGCAGAACUGGUAGAAAUGAAUGCAAAUAAUGAUAAAUUACAGCGCACUUACAAUGAGCUUAUAGAAUAUAAGCUUGUUCUCCUAAAGGCUGGUGAGUUUUUUUCUUCAGCAUUAAGUAGUGCAACUGCUCAGCAGAGGGAAAUAGAAUCACAUCAAGUUGGUGAAGAAUCACUAGACACUCCUUUACUAGCUGACCAAGAAAUAUCAACUGAUUCAUCAAAGCAAGUAAAGUUGGGGUUUCUCACUGGCCUUGUUCCCAAGGAAAAGUCUUUGGCGUUUGAAAGGAUUAUAUUCCGUGCUACCAGGGGCAAUGUGUUUAUCAGGCAGUCUGCUAUUGAAGUGCCUGUAAUUGAUCCUAUUUCUGGGGAGAAGAUUGAGAAGAAUGUAUUCGUUGUAUUCUAUUCUGGGGAAAGAGCUAAAACCAAAAUACUCAAAAUAUGUGAAGCUUUUGGGGCAAAUCGUUAUCCUUUCACUGAGGAUCUGGGCAAACAAAACCAGAUUAUUGAUGAGGUCUCAGGAAAAGUCUCAGAGUUGAAGACUACCAUAGAUGCAGGAUUACUUCAUAGGAGCAAUUUGUUGCAGACUAUUGGUGAUCAAUUUGUGCAAUGGAACUCAUUGGUGCGGAAGGAGAAAUCCAUCUACCACACUCUGAACAUGCUUAGUCUUGAUGUGACCAAAAAGUGUCUUGUCGCUGAGGGUUGGAGUCCUGUUUUUGCGUCAAAGCAGAUCCAGGAAGCAUUGCAACGGGCUGCAUUUGAUUCCAGCUCACAGGUUGGGGCCAUUUUCCAGGUUUUGCAUACAAAGGAGUCCCCACCUACUUAUUUUCGCACAAAUAUAUUUACUACUGCUUUCCAGGAAAUUGUUGAUGCAUAUGGGGUGGCCAGGUAUCAAGAAGCAAAUCCUGGUGUAUACACUAUUGUUACAUUCCCUUUCCUUUUUGCUGUCAUGUUUGGUGAUUGGGGGCAUGGAAUAUGCUUGUUACUCACAACUUUAGUCUUUAUAAUCAGGGAAAAUAAACUUUCUGGACAGGUAAACUCCAUGUGAUUUGUUAUCAUCAACCAGAAAAUUAUGCAUUUGAUUUUUAUCGUGAUAUUAUUGUUGUAUAACAUUGACCUCAUUGAAUUUUAAAUGGUCUUUCAGCUUUCAUCAAUUUAUUUAUGGUUGUAAUAACAAAUGAUUUUAGAUAUGCUUGUAUCAAGAAUAAAAUGUGUUCCUAGCUAUACUUGGAAUGUAACUAAUAAUGCUUCUUGUGAACUACAGAAGCUUGGGGAUAUCACUGAAAUGACUUUUGGUGGUCGUUAUGUUAUCUUGUUGAUGGCCCUCUUCUCAAUUUACACCGGUUUGAUCUAUAAUGAGUUCUUCUCAGUUCCCUUUGAGCUGUUUGGACAUUCAGCAUAUGCAUGUCGUGAUCUUUCUUGCAGGGAUGCUACUACAGAUGGAUUGAUUAAGGUGGGCCCUACUUACCCAUUUGGUGUGGAUCCUGUGUGGCAUGGCACUCGCAGUGAGCUGCCAUUUCUAAACUCUUUGAAGAUGAAAAUGUCAAUCCUUCUUGGAGUUGCCCAAAUGAAUCUUGGUAUCAUAUUGAGUUACUUCAAUGCUGUUUAUUUUCGAAAUGGCUUGAAUAUCUGGUUUCAGUUCAUUCCCCAAAUGAUAUUUUUAAACAGCUUGUUUGGCUAUUUAUCACUCCUUAUCAUUGUGAAGUGGGCCACUGGUUCACAGGCUGAUUUAUACCAUGUAAUGAUAUACAUGUUCUUGAGUCCAACAGAUGAAUUAGGGGAAAAUCAACUCUUUGCAGGACAAAAGAUGGUACAGCAAGUUCUCUUAUUACUGGCCCUUGUUUCGGUGCCAUGGAUGCUGCUUCCAAAGCCUUUCCUUAUGAAGAAGCAGCACGAAGAUAGGCACUUAGGACAAUCAUACACACCACUUCAGAGUACUGAGGAGUCUCUUCAAGUGGAGGUGAAUCAUGAUUCCCAUGGUCAUGAAGAAUUUGAAUUCAGUGAAGUUUUUGUACAUCAGCUGAUACAUACCAUUGAGUUUGUACUUGGAGCAGUCUCAAACACAGCAUCUUACCUUCGUCUAUGGGCCCUCAGGUAUGUCACUAUAAAGUUGAAGAUACACAUUGGUCUGCAUUCAAAUUCUUGUUCAUCUGUUGAGCCUGGAUGAGAUUAGUUCAAUAUUAUACCUUUGUAAAAAUUUGUCUUCUGGACUGUUCAACAUUGGUUGUGGAUAACUCGAUAUGCAUAUAUUUUCACACCUAUUGCCACAGAGUUGGGUGGUCACAUGCAAAGGCAUGUUAUAUUCUCUUUGUUAAAAGUCUCAAGGAUGCCAUCUUCAUGUCUGUGUAUUGCUUGUGAGAGGAGCAUUGAUGUUGCAUGACGCUGGCACCUCUAGAUAGCUUCCACAUAAUUGGCUGUGGUCUCUUCUCCAGCAUCAUUUUCUUUUUAUUUGGACAGGCAUCUGAUCCAUCCAGUGGGACUAAUUAUGUGCUUUAUCUUGUCACUCUCAUUCUGCAGUCUUGCCCACUCAGAACUGUCAAGUGUAUUCUAUGAGAAAGUUCUUCUCCUUGCUUGGGGGUUCAACAAUGUAAUUAUCCUCAUUGUCGGCAUCAUCAUCUUUAUUUUUGCAACUAUUGGUGUGUUGCUGGUGAUGGAAACUCUCAGUGCUUUCCUACACGCUUUGCGACUUCAUUGGGUGGAAUUCCAAAACAAGUUCUAUGAGGGAGAUGGUUAUAAAUUCUAUCCUUUUUCAUUUGCAUUACUUAGCGACGAAGAUGAAUGAUUCACUGAAGUCAGUCAUGGUUGGCAUCAAUGAUAAUGGUCUGCAGUAGUGUGCAUAGGUAUAUGAUUGAAGUUGAUUUUAUUCAUUUGAACAUGAUGAGAAGCUGGUUAAUAUGAAUCUUGUAGGGAGAGUUAAGGCAGCUUUCUACCAUUUGAGCACUGCUCCUUUCCCUUCCAAAUGUUCUUUUCUAUUGGGAGGAAUAAGCAGUUUUCUUGUUUG